AUGGCCCAACCAGCCUUGGUCUGCAGACCUGUGCAGUCUGGUGAUACCAGUGGGGACACCGUGAGGAAAUCCCCCCAUCAGCAGGACCCGUCAACAACACAGGCACACGGCCCAGUGUGGCAUCCUCAGCCCCAGCAGUCUGUAGACAUUAAGGGGGAGAUCAUGGAGCACAACCGAGCCAUGUCACUCACAUCAGCCUCCUCAACACAAACAUGUUUCCUGAUGCUGAUACUGGUGGUGGCAUGGGUAGAUGGUGCUAUUGAACACACUCAGCCCAGUUCCAUCAUGGUAAAGCCAGGAGAGUCUCUGACAGUUACCUGCAAAGUGACUGGAGCUUCCAUUACAGAUGGCAGCAGCUACUGGGGAACAGCCUGGAUUCGUCAAGCAGCAGAGAAACCUCUAGAGUGGAUCAACAUGCUCCGCCACGAUGGAAACAAAUUUGAAAACAAUGCCCUGAAGAACAAGUUCAGUGUCUCCAGAGACACGUCCAGUAACACAGUGACUCUACAGGGCCAGAAUCUACAGGCUGGAGACACAGCUGUGUAUUACUGUGCCCGAGAGUCACUGUGA
Sardina pilchardus (European sardine) is the source of this 570-nucleotide non-coding RNA. Lineage: Eukaryota; Metazoa; Chordata; Actinopteri; Clupeiformes; Clupeidae. The record is from the annotation of a RefSeq genome assembly.